This 2884-nucleotide long non-coding RNA is filed under the name Malus domestica (apple). Its description in RNAcentral is "long non-coding RNA (MDOM_LNC009570)". The record is from RNAcentral. Lineage: Eukaryota; Viridiplantae; Streptophyta; Magnoliopsida; Rosales; Rosaceae.
UGCUGCCUGGUUGUUUGCCCCAAUGGCCGCAGCCUUCCAACCGCCAUAGUUUCCACUUGGGUCGCUCAUGUACAGCUGAAAACCGUAGUUUUUGUCCCAACCUGCAAACAGAAACGAAACGCCAAAUGGACGGAGCCCACCAAACUGCGUGUAGCCUUGUUUGGUGUCACACAGAGAUUGGACUAGUUGUUCAACAGGCAUUGGCUCUUGGUAAGCAAAUGUGUAGCGCUGUGCUUGGACCCUGGCUGUGUUGAUCAAGAUGUUGGCAUCAGACAUUAUCCCAGCCACUGCACAUGCGACGUGGUCAUCAAUCUUGUACAUCUUCUCUGUUGAUGUAGAGGUCUGAAGGAGCUUGGAAGUCACCUUCUUUUCACCUACCAACACAACUCCAUCUUUCGACAAUAUCCCAAUUGCAGUCCCUGCGUUUCCAAUGGCCUCCAUAGCAUACUCAACUUGGUAGAGACGACCUUCAGGAGAGAAGAUCGUCGUGCGGCUGUCAUACCUUCGAGACAUUUGAUAUCACACUGAAAUAAGUAAAACAAUGAAACUGAUUAAAUACCACCACAUAAGAAGUAUCAAUGGCUAAGAACAUGGAAUUACAAAUGAAAUUUCAGGAAUUAAAUGAGUCAGGAAUGCAUCCAAUAAACAUGUCAUCUUCAGAAAUAGUAUCUACAGAAACAAUGAAAACGUAUUCGAACAAAUUGAAAUGGCUCUUCUAAUAAACCCUACAGUGGAAAGGAAGAAAAGAAUAGUUCUUGUGGCUUCAAGUUAAUAAAGUUAAAAUAAUUAAAACAGAACAUACAUCAGUAACAUCACUUUUUCCAAUGGUAUGCACUCAAAUUUGGACUCGAAGGGGUAAACUUCCCACAAAGUUGUCGGAUUUAGAAAUAAUACAUAGAAGACUGAAAUUCACUACAUGUUUUGCAGCUGCAUUUUGACUCUAGCCGCAAAGAGUUCCUGCUUGUUCCCAACAGCUGAAUGAAUAAGAGGUUCCAAACUAAAUUGCAUACAUAUAUACAGUUAAUAUUGGUCAAAAUUACAGUAUAUUAAACCAUAUUUUAAUAAUUAGGUAUGUGUCUGCAAAUAUUCUAACUUCCCAACAGACAUAUAAAUAACGCAUCUAGCAUCGUCCACUUUCAUGUUAUUUUUUUUUUGAGAAGAAACAAUUUUAUUAAAGAAUAGUGAAAAACACAGAAGUGGAUAAGAAGUCCACCAACAAAAGGAAAAUCCCAAUAGGAUUUGGCUACAUUAGCCAAUUCUAGACCUAGCUCACUUAACUGCUGCUAACAAAUCCCACAGUAUUUGAGAUAGAGAACAAUUAUUAAACUCUUUAGUAACCGAAGCCCAAAAAGAUGCCCAAUAUUUUACUCUCCCCCAAAGUACUUCUGCCCCCACUCCAGUAUAGUCUUCAAAAAUCCUUCUGUUGCGUUCCAGCCAUAUAUUCCAAAAAAUUGCCGAUACCAGGCAACCCCACAAAGCUUUGGAUUUUUUCCCUUUUCCAAGUGCCUUAAAAUUGGUGCUUAGUAGCUCAAAACACCCUUUAGGAAUGACCCAACUUACUUUAACCUCCUGAAACAGUUUCCACCAUAGUUGGAUCGAGUAGGAGCAAUGAAGAAAGAUGUGAUUUACACUCUCCUCCUUAGCUUUACAUAAACUACACCAAUGUGGGGAUAAACACAUCAGAGGGUUUCUCCUUUGAAUUUUGUCGCAAGUGUUGAGACUCCCAGUGGCCACAAGCCAUACAAGUAUUUUAACCUUCGGAGGAGCUUUUGAUUAUCUGCCGCAAUCACUAAUACUUGAAGUAAGAAAGUUAAUAUCCACUCUUUAAGACCAUUGCUCAACUAUAGGGCCAACAGUUCACGUGCUAUUUACCAGAGGCAAACAAGUUUUACAGCAGCAGAAAAAUCACACUAAUUUCCACAUUCAGUAAAGAUAUUGUAAGUUGUAACGUGGCCUGUCAAAGAAAAAGGUUUAAUUUUAUACGGCAUCAAUACACAUCUUGACACAAUGGACAAGGCUUAAUUUACAAGAAGAUUCUACUUUAAACUGGAAACUAUAAAGAUUGAUCUUAGUAUCCACUAUCCAGGCUAAAACCCUGUACCUUAAUUACAACCAUAGCUUAUUUCCACUCUUUUCUGACUCUAAUUUCCUUCCAAAACUAUCGGGAAUUGGUAAAAAAUACUACAACUCCACUAGCAGUGGAAAACUCGUACUAAUUUCCACAUCCAAUGAAGAUGCUGUAACUUAACCAUUCAAGGAAACAAAUUGAGUUUUAUUUAGCACCAUCGACGAAUCAGCAAAGUAGACAAGCCUACUGAAUCAAGAACAAGCAACGUUUAAGCAUUUACUACAAAGUCGAACAGAAAGCAUUGGAAUUAGAAUACAACCAAUAAACCCGAUUUUCGCUAAACAUACGAAAAGAUUCUACUUCAAAACCAAAAAGAUGAAGAACUGAUCUCACUCACUACCAAAGCUAAAGUGACGAAAUUCUCAGGAAAGAUCAAAUACUAUCAAAAUAUGACCUAGAAAAAUCAAAAAAUAACAAAAAGCUUCAUCUUUUACCUUAUUCAACCUCUAAAAAACUGACAAAAAGAACCCAGAAAAAAAUUUCACUAAUUCCUCCUAAACGGCGAGUAAUCCGACGGAUUAAAAACAAAUAGACAGUAUCCUGUUUUCUCUCUACAACCCCAGAAAAUUUAGCACGAAUCUCCCAUGAAAAGAAAUGCGUCUGUAAAUUCAAGACACAAAAUUCAGAUAAUUUACAUAGAGAGAAGAGAACCAGACCUGAUUGGGUAGAUCUUGAGCAGUAGAGAAUCGGAGAUAGUCUGAGAAGCACGAAAUCGGAGAGAGAGCGAGCGAGAGAGAGAGAGAGUGGUGAAUCAAC